Molecule: long non-coding RNA, 319 nt
Filed under: Elaeis guineensis (African oil palm)
Lineage: Eukaryota; Viridiplantae; Streptophyta; Magnoliopsida; Arecales; Arecaceae
Description: long non-coding RNA (EGUI_LNC080077)
Source: RNAcentral
CACUAGGACCUCUUUAGGAACCCUUCCUCAAAAGAUCUCACCACACACAAAUGAGAUUUUAUGUUCAACACAUGAAUAAUCUGAUUUGUAGGAUAAGUAUCUCAUACUUUUCUUUUUUCUUCCUCUCUUCCUUUCUAUUUUUCUCUAUCUUUUUCUUUCUAUUUUCACUUCAGAUUUUUACCAUCUCUUCCUCAUCUAAUCUCACAUCCAAAAUAAUUUUUGGAUUAAUUUUAUGCCAUAUGGGGUGUCCCUUAUAUAAGGGAUGAAGGGGCGUCACACAAGACACCAAGGGGCGCCAACUUUUGGCAUCCCAACUCCC